GCCCUCGGUGGCUCAGAUGGAUAGAGCGUCUGCCAUGUAAGCAGAAGAUCCCGGGUUCGAGUCCCGGUCGGGGCA
Molecule: transfer RNA, 75 nt
Filed under: Schistocerca americana (American grasshopper)
Lineage: Eukaryota; Metazoa; Arthropoda; Insecta; Orthoptera; Acrididae
Also listed under: 2 other names
Description: tRNA-Thr
Rfam family: tRNA
About the family: Transfer RNA (tRNA) molecules are approximately 80 nucleotides in length. Their secondary structure includes four short double-helical elements and three loops (D, anti-codon, and T loops).
Source: RNAcentral